AUUGAACGCUGGCGGCAUGCCUUACACAUGCAAGUCGAACGGCAGCACGGGUGCUUGCACCUGGUGGCGAGUGGCGAACGGGUGAGUAAUACAUCGGAACAUGUCCUGUAGUGGGGGAUAGCCCGGCGAAAGCCGGAUUAAUACCGCAUACGAUCUCGGAUGAAAGCGGGGGACCUUCGGGCCUCGCGCUAUAGGGUUGGCCGAUGGCUGAUUAGCUAGUUGGUGGGGUAAAGGCCUACCAAGGCGACGAUCAGCAGCUGGUCUGAGAGGACGACCAGCCACACUGGGACUGAGACACGGCCCAGACUCCUACGGGAGGCAGCAGUGGGGAAUUUUGGACAAUGGGCGAAAGCCUGAUCCAGCAAUGCCGCGUGUGUGAAGAAGGCCUUCGGGUUGUAAAGCACUUUUGUCCGGAAAGAAAUCCUUGGCCCUAAUACGGUCGGGGGAUGACGGUACCGGAAGAAUAAGCACCGGCUAACUACGU
RNAcentral lists this ribosomal RNA (484 nucleotides) under uncultured bacterium. Its description in RNAcentral is "partial 16S ribosomal RNA". It matches the Rfam family "Bacterial small subunit ribosomal RNA", at positions 30 to 506 of the family's 1533-position model. The record is from RNAcentral.